Molecule: ribosomal RNA, 253 nt
Filed under: uncultured bacterium
Lineage: Bacteria
Description: partial 16S ribosomal RNA
Rfam family: Bacterial small subunit ribosomal RNA
Source: RNAcentral
UACGAAGGGGGCUAGCGUUGUUCGGAUUUACUGGGCGUAAAGCGCACGUAGGCGGAUUGUUAAGUUGGGUGUGAAAUCCCAGGGCUCAACCCUGGAACUGCCUUCAAUACUGGCAAUCUAGAGUCCGGAAGAGGUGAGUGGAACUCCUAGUGUAGAGGUGGAAUUCGUAGAUAUUAGGAAGAACACCAGUGGCGAAGGCGGCUCACUGGUCCGGUACUGACGCUGAGGUGCGAAAGCGUGGGGAGCAAACAGG